CCAGUACAAAUAAAAUAUUUAAUUCCUCCAAAAAACUCAAAGUGAUAAAAUAAAUUGGUUUGGGUGGAAUAUUAUUGCACAUAGAAUGAGGUUAUUAAUAUAUUUACAUGUCAACAGGUAUCAAUGGCUUGGCCAUGGGUGCGUGUCUAUUUUCUCUCAAAGGAGGCACACCUGGACAACUACGUGUUGGAAAACCAUGCUUCAACUACGUAUAUAAAAGAGAGCGAUCAUGUGAAAGAUAGCAAGAAAGAUUAUACCUCAACAAAUAUUUCCAAGAACCAAUUGCUCGAGCAUCGCAAAGAUUCAAAAAACUUUAGCCACUGCCUGUUUGAUUUUCGUAUAAACAUUAAACAGGAUCAAACAAACAUUUCUUAUGAUUUUCUUUUCACCCAAAUAAUAUGUGGAAACAAGAUCAACAAAUAAAUACCAGAGAAGACUGAAGAGAUUUCCAGAUAGGGUUCCCGGAGAAAAGAUUUCCAGCAAGGAAGCAACAGUCGUGAAGAAGAGAUUCCCGGAGAAGAUUAAGGAUGGUCGGGGACGACGGGGAGAAGAUUUAUGAAAACUGUAAAUGGGUCGUGGGGGUGAG
This 586-nucleotide long non-coding RNA is filed under the name Zostera marina. RNAcentral describes it as "long non-coding RNA (ZMAR_LNC001206)". Lineage: Eukaryota; Viridiplantae; Streptophyta; Magnoliopsida; Alismatales; Zosteraceae. The record is from RNAcentral.